RNAcentral lists this ribosomal RNA (2903 nucleotides) under Escherichia coli. Its description in RNAcentral is "23S ribosomal RNA". It matches the Rfam family "Bacterial large subunit ribosomal RNA". Lineage: Bacteria; Pseudomonadati; Pseudomonadota; Gammaproteobacteria; Enterobacterales; Enterobacteriaceae. The record is from RNAcentral.
GGUUAAGCGACUAAGCGUACACGGUGGAUGCCCUGGCAGUCAGAGGCGAUGAAGGACGUGCUAAUCUGCGAUAAGCGUCGGUAAGGUGAUAUGAACCGUUAUAACCGGCGAUUUCCGAAUGGGGAAACCCAGUGUGUUUCGACACACUAUCAUUAACUGAAUCCAUAGGUUAAUGAGGCGAACCGGGGGAACUGAAACAUCUAAGUACCCCGAGGAAAAGAAAUCAACCGAGAUUCCCCCAGUAGCGGCGAGCGAACGGGGAGGAGCCCAGAGCCUGAAUCAGUGUGUGUGUUAGUGGAAGCGUCUGGAAAGGCGCGCGAUACAGGGUGACAGCCCCGUACACAAAAAUGCACAUAUUGUGAGCUCGAUGAGUAGGGCGGGACACGUGGUAUCCUGUCUGAAUAUGGGGGGACCAUCCUCCAAGGCUAAAUACUCCUGACUGACCGAUAGUGAACCAGUACCGUGAGGGAAAGGCGAAAAGAACCCCGGCGAGGGGAGUGAAAAAGAACCUGAAACCGUGUACGUACAAGCAGUGGGAGCCUCUUUUAUGGGGUGACUGCGUACCUUUUGUAUAAUGGGUCAGCGACUUAUAUUCUGUAGCAAGGUUAACCGAAUAGGGGAGCCGAAGGGAAACCGAGUCUUAACUGGGCGUUAAGUUGCAGGGUAUAGACCCGAAACCCGGUGAUCUAGCCAUGGGCAGGUUGAAGGUUGGGUAACACUAACUGGAGGACCGAACCGACUAAUGUUGAAAAAUUAGCGGAUGACUUGUGGCUGGGGGUGAAAGGCCAAUCAAACCGGGAGAUAGCUGGUUCUCCCCGAAAGCUAUUUAGGUAGCGCCUCGUGAAUUCAUCUCCGGGGGUAGAGCACUGUUUCGGCAAGGGGGUCAUCCCGACUUACCAACCCGAUGCAAACUGCGAAUACCGGAGAAUGUUAUCACGGGAGACACACGGCGGGUGCUAACGUCCGUCGUGAAGAGGGAAACAACCCAGACCGCCAGCUAAGGUCCCAAAGUCAUGGUUAAGUGGGAAACGAUGUGGGAAGGCCCAGACAGCCAGGAUGUUGGCUUAGAAGCAGCCAUCAUUUAAAGAAAGCGUAAUAGCUCACUGGUCGAGUCGGCCUGCGCGGAAGAUGUAACGGGGCUAAACCAUGCACCGAAGCUGCGGCAGCGACACUAUGUGUUGUUGGGUAGGGGAGCGUUCUGUAAGCCUGUGAAGGUGUGCUGUGAGGCAUGCUGGAGGUAUCAGAAGUGCGAAUGCUGACAUAAGUAACGAUAAAGCGGGUGAAAAGCCCGCUCGCCGGAAGACCAAGGGUUCCUGUCCAACGUUAAUCGGGGCAGGGUGAGUCGACCCCUAAGGCGAGGCCGAAAGGCGUAGUCGAUGGGAAACAGGUUAAUAUUCCUGUACUUGGUGUUACUGCGAAGGGGGGACGGAGAAGGCUAUGUUGGCCGGGCGACGGUUGUCCCGGUUUAAGCGUGUAGGCUGGUUUUCCAGGCAAAUCCGGAAAAUCAAGGCUGAGGCGUGAUGACGAGGCACUACGGUGCUGAAGCAACAAAUGCCCUGCUUCCAGGAAAAGCCUCUAAGCAUCAGGUAACAUCAAAUCGUACCCCAAACCGACACAGGUGGUCAGGUAGAGAAUACCAAGGCGCUUGAGAGAACUCGGGUGAAGGAACUAGGCAAAAUGGUGCCGUAACUUCGGGAGAAGGCACGCUGAUAUGUAGGUGAAGUCCCUCGCGGAUGGAGCUGAAAUCAGUCGAAGAUACCAGCUGGCUGCAACUGUUUAUUAAAAACACAGCACUGUGCAAACACGAAAGUGGACGUAUACGGUGUGACGCCUGCCCGGUGCCGGAAGGUUAAUUGAUGGGGUCAGCGCAAGCGAAGCUCUUGAUCGAAGCCCCGGUAAACGGCGGCCGUAACUAUAACGGUCCUAAGGUAGCGAAAUUCCUUGUCGGGUAAGUUCCGACCUGCACGAAUGGCGUAAUGAUGGCCAGGCUGUCUCCACCCGAGACUCAGUGAAAUUGAACUCGCUGUGAAGAUGCAGUGUACCCGCGGCAAGACGGAAAGACCCCGUGAACCUUUACUAUAGCUUGACACUGAACAUUGAGCCUUGAUGUGUAGGAUAGGUGGGAGGCUUAGAAGUGUGGACGCCAGUCUGCAUGGAGCCGACCUUGAAAUACCACCCUUUAAUGUUUGAUGUUCUAACGUUGACCCGUGAUCCGGGUUGCGGACAGUGUCUGGUGGGUAGUUUGACUGGGGCGGUCUCCUCCUAAAGAGUAACGGAGGAGCACGAAGGUUGGCUAAUCCUGGUCGGACAUCAGGAGGUUAGUGCAAUGGCAUAAGCCAGCUUGACUGCGAGCGUGACGGCGCGAGCAGGUGCGAAAGCAGGUCAUAGUGAUCCGGUGGUUCUGAAUGGAAGGGCCAUCGCUCAACGGAUAAAAGGUACUCCGGGGAUAACAGGCUGAUACCGCCCAAGAGUUCAUAUCGACGGCGGUGUUUGGCACCUCGAUGUCGGCUCAUCACAUCCUGGGGCUGAAGUAGGUCCCAAGGGUAUGGCUGUUCGCCAUUUAAAGUGGUACGCGAGCUGGGUUUAGAACGUCGUGAGACAGUUCGGUCCCUAUCUGCCGUGGGCGCUGGAGAACUGAGGGGGGCUGCUCCUAGUACGAGAGGACCGGAGUGGACGCAUCACUGGUGUUCGGGUUGUCAUGCCAAUGGCACUGCCCGGUAGCUAAAUGCGGAAGAGAUAAGUGCUGAAAGCAUCUAAGCACGAAACUUGCCCCGAGAUGAGUUCUCCCUGACCCUUUAAGGGUCCUGAAGGAACGUUGAAGACGACGACGUUGAUAGGCCGGGUGUGUAAGCGCAGCGAUGCGUUGAGCUAACCGGUACUAAUGAACCGUGAGGCUUAACCUU